GGGCUAUAGCUCAGUGGUAAGAGCAACUCCCUUACAUGCAGAAGGUCCCAGGGUCAAUCAUUGGCUUCUCCA
Molecule: non-coding RNA, 72 nt
Organism: Podarcis lilfordi (Lilford's wall lizard)
Lineage: Eukaryota; Metazoa; Chordata; Lepidosauria; Squamata; Lacertidae
Source: the annotation of a GenBank genome assembly